UGGAUCUCAAAUCAGAUAAGGUGACGCGCUGAAUUUAAG
This 39-nucleotide ribosomal RNA is filed under the name Membranoptera platyphylla. RNAcentral describes it as "partial large subunit ribosomal RNA". The record is from RNAcentral. Lineage: Eukaryota; Rhodophyta; Florideophyceae; Ceramiales; Delesseriaceae. RNAcentral also lists the same sequence under 1 other name.